UACGGGGGGGGCAAGCGUUGUUCGGAAUUACUGGGCGUAAAGGGCUCGUAGGUGGCCAACUAAGUCAGACGUGAAAUCCCUCGGCUUAACCGGGGAACUGCGUCUGAUACUGGACGGCUUGAGAUUGGGAGAGGGAUGCGGAAUUCCAGGUGUAGCGGUGAAAUGCGUAGAUAUCUGGAGGAACACCGGUGGCGAAGGCGGCAUCCUGGACCAACACUGACACUGAGGAGCGAAAGCCAGGGGAGCAAACGGG
This 253-nucleotide ribosomal RNA is filed under the name uncultured bacterium. Its description in RNAcentral is "partial 16S ribosomal RNA". It matches the Rfam family "Bacterial small subunit ribosomal RNA", at positions 524 to 776 of the family's 1533-position model. The record is from RNAcentral.